Molecule: small nucleolar RNA, 106 nt
Organism: Lactuca sativa (garden lettuce)
Lineage: Eukaryota; Viridiplantae; Streptophyta; Magnoliopsida; Asterales; Asteraceae
Source: RefSeq, a predicted model, not a curated record
AAUUCAUUUUGGGGGCAACUCCUUAUCAAUCCCUUAUAGCAUUCCCAUGCUUCAUAUAGUGACCCCCCAGUUGUUGUUCGAAAUUCGCUAUAGGUUUCUUGAGUUU